This 433-nucleotide ribosomal RNA is filed under the name uncultured Acinetobacter sp. RNAcentral's name for it is "bacterial SSU rRNA". It matches the Rfam family "Bacterial small subunit ribosomal RNA", at positions 96 to 524 of the family's 1533-position model. Lineage: Bacteria; Pseudomonadati; Pseudomonadota; Gammaproteobacteria; Moraxellales; Moraxellaceae. The record is from RNAcentral.
CGGCGGACGGGUGAGUAAUGCUUAGGAAUCUGCCUAUUAGUGGGGGACAACAUUCCGAAAGGAAUGCUAAUUCCGCAUACGCCCUACGGGGGAAAGCAGGGGAUCUUCGGACCUUGCGCUAAUAGAUGAGCCUAAGUCGGAUUAGCUAGUUGGUGGGGUAAAGGCCUACCAAGGCGACGAUCUGUAGCGGGUCUGAGAGGAUGAUCCGCCACACUGGGACUGAGACACGGCCCAGACUCCUACGGGAGGCAGCAGUGUGGAAUAUUGGGCAAUGGGCGAAAGCCUGAUCCAGCCAUGCCGCGUGUGUGAAGAAGGCCUUUUGGUUGUAAAGCACUUUAAGCGAGGAGGAGGCUACUUGUAUUAAUACUACUGGAUAGUGGACGUUACUCGCAGAAUAAGCACCGGCUAACUCUGUGCCAGCAGCCGCGGUAAU